This is a long non-coding RNA of Manacus vitellinus (golden-collared manakin), 1002 nucleotides long. The record is from Ensembl. Lineage: Eukaryota; Metazoa; Chordata; Aves; Passeriformes; Pipridae.
CAGUUUGAGGUCAGUGAUGACACCAGGUCAUUUGGGCUCUGCAUAGCAAAGCUUAAAUGUGGAAAUACUUCCAAUAUCCUUGCACGAGGAAACCCCAGAAGAUUCAUGAUAAAUGUAUUUCCUUGUGCUUCACAGUUUACCACAGAGUAUGGAGGGGAGGAAACGUGAAGACACAGAUCUUUCUUCUUCUGCUCUUAAUGAGAAUCUGUUCACUUUGAUGAGCAUCAAAUCUCUCUCUGUUAAUUGCUGUUGAUAGAAGUGCAGAUUAAUCAAUAUUUCUAUACAUCAAGGCCUGUACCAGGCACAUCUGGAGAACCAAAAUAAGAGGAAAAGUCUCAGUACUGCCAGAGCCUAAGGCACAGAGUUUGCACAGUUGCAAGUGUUCCCUUCAUUGCAGAGUUAUUAAAAUGUCAUCUCACAGUCAUUAUAUCCUUACCUUAUAUCUUAAAACCCAUUUUAAAAAAUGCAUUCCUGGAGCUGGAUAUUUGCAGGAAGGGUGAGGACAAAGCACACCAUUUCUUUCAGCCUUCCUUGGAGCCUGUUCAGGCCAUUGUGUGGAGCUUUUCGCCUGACUGGUUUCCUGUAGCAGAACAUUCCAUGCAGGAUUCAUUUCUCCAGGUGAUUUGCAUACCUCCUGCUUGGAAGGGCCACAUCAGACCAGGAAGGGGCCGGGGCGAGUCCAUGGACUGCCUGCUGAGUUUCUUUGUAUUUGGAAUUCCCUCCAAACGGCAGCGGCAUUCUGUGGAGCAGCAGGAGUUGAUUCAGGGAUGCACCUGCUGAAGGAAGUCAACAAACCCAUUCUGAGCCCUUCUGGAGAGAUGACACCGUCGAGCUGCACAGAGCUGAUUCUAUUGUGACAUCUAAAAGAAACCAGAAAUCUCCUACUGGCCACUGAGGGCCAAAAAAAUCUCUGGUUUCAUGAGGGAGGCAGAACUAGCCACAAAUAACAUUAUCUUCCAUGUGGGAUCUGAUAAACAGAAAUUAAAAUCUAGCAGGUGGCAC